RNAcentral lists this long non-coding RNA (6612 nucleotides) under Brassica napus (rape). Its description in RNAcentral is "long non-coding RNA (BNAP_LNC011141)". The record is from RNAcentral. Lineage: Eukaryota; Viridiplantae; Streptophyta; Magnoliopsida; Brassicales; Brassicaceae.
CCUGAAGAUGAAUCCUCGUCCUCGGAAGAAGAUGAGGAAGAUUCAGAGAAGACGACGGAAGAAAUGAAUUUCCCGGCGCCGGAGGCAAUCACGGUGACAGGUUUGUAAACGAGCCUGGACAUCCAACUAGGGUUUUGCUGAGGAGGAUCUCUGGAUCUUGGAGCGGGGCGGUCGUACGGCGUCUUGACGGCGAAUCUCCGGCGAGGUCGAACAAUCUUGCCUCCGGAUUGAGGCUGACGUGGUCCGGCGUCGGAAUCCAUGGGAGAAGUCAGAAGGGAGAAAGUGAGAGAGUUCGUUGAUGUUUUUUCUAGUUAUUUGUCGUCUUCUUGUUCUCCUCCCUCUAUAUUUUUUUUUUAUCUGUUUUUUCUCACCCCAGUUUUGUUUCCUAAUUAACAGGGCUGCGGUUAGAAUUACUAAUCAUUUUUUUAAAUGAAAUUCAUGUUUGUUUUCCACAUUAAGGCCAAUUAUAUCUUGAUCCGCCCCCGCACGGCUGUUAGAUUUAAUUUGCGUUCAAUGUAAAUUUAUAAACCAUUAAUUUUAUAAAAUAUCCAUUUAUAUUUUUAUGUUUUGUAAAAUGUAUUUAGUGUAAAAUAUAUUAUAUUAUAAUAUAGACUAGAGCUUGACCCGCACAUCCGUGCGGGUUUUAUUUUUAUCUUUUUAUAAUUUUUUUAGUGAUAUUCUUAAAACAUAUAAGUUAUUUAGAUAUUUUUAGGUUCCUACAAACUUACCCGGAUCCGGAAGAAUCCAAACUGAACCAUGUUCGAAAAUUUAUAAUACCCGAACAUAGUUUAACUUUAAAUCAAAAAAACUCGAUAUCCAUAAAUAUUGAUAUGUAUCUGAACGAAUACAUGAAUGACCAUGUCUAAAUGAUCUAGUAAACAAAUAAAAAUAAAUUUGUUAACCGGUUUGACUUCUUGUCACUAAAGGAGUAAUUUCAUUUUGACACGUGAAAUUAUUAUGGUUAAUACGUAAAAUAAAUGACAUUGAAUUAUAAUGGUAAAUAAAAUUAAUGAAGUAAUUUUGAAAAGUAAAAAAAAAGAAUGUGAAAACGUGAUAAGAUCUUGUGCUUAUUCCAUAAAUGUUUAUCUAAGUUUUUAUGUUUGUUCUUUUAUUAUAGACGUAAAUCAAAGAUUUUCUGCUUGUUUUAAUAUUCUGGAUUCUAAAUUAAUGUAGUUCCUUUAUUAUAGUCGUGGAAAUCACAUUUAGGAAAACAAUAUAGUUCGUUUGAGUUAUUAAUAAUUUGUUUCCUUGUUUGUAGUUCGUUUGAGUUAUUUUAGGAAAACAAUGAAUAUGUAGAAAAAACAAUCAUUUUUAAUGUGAGAUUAAUUUAAUUCUUAAUGGCAUUUGGCUGUAAAUAUUGUGUAACUUUUAGGGUUAUUCUAUAAGUGUACUUUUGUUUUAAUAUAUUAGAUGUUUGAUAUUUUUUUAUCUGUACGUAAUAUUAUAUUUAUAAUUUUAUAACUUGAUGCAAUUUGAUGUAAUUGUAAUAUUCAUAUAUUAACCUAUUGAUUUUUUUGUUUAUUUAUUUAAAAAUGAUUUAAUUUUUUAGAGUAGGUUUUAUGAAUUGUUAUUAAUUUUAUGAUAUUUGGUUUUCUUGAAAAUUGUAUUGUAGCAGAUUAAUAUAUACUAUAUAUUACAAUUUGUAUUUUUUAUUUUCAGCAAAAAAAAUAACAGUUCAUUGUAAUUAAUUAAUUUAAAUUUUUGAUUUUAAGUGAAUUGACAGAUUUGUAAUUAAAAAUGAAAUACAAUUGCUAAAUGUGUAAAUAAAAAAAAAUAUUUAAUCUACUAUACGUGUUUCCAUAAUCUGUAAAUGAGAAAGAAAUACAGUAACUAAAUAUGUAAAUAAAAAAAAUAUUUAAUCUGCUAUCAUUGUUUCUAAACAACUUACAUUUAAUUUACUAUCUAAGUUUUCAAAUAGUAUCAAAAGAUACUUCAGUUUUAAUAAUAUAGAUUGAUGACAAUAUUUUAGGAAAAAAAAAAUAUUAUGGUCAAUUAUUUGUUUUUCAAAUUUUAUACUACCAAUUAGAUUAAAUUUUUGGUCAAGAUAGAUCUUACUCUAUUCUUUUAAAUUUUUCAUGAACGAACGAAAUUUUUGAAAAAAAAUCUACUCUUCUAUUUUUUUUAUGAAGAAUAAAAUGAACAACUUUUUUUCGUUUAUUUAAUUUCUUAAAUGAAUUUCUGUUUAUUAUUUUUUUUGGUAUUGGAUAUUGGAUAAACCUGCUGUUCAUUUAUUCAACGGGCUUUAACACUUUAAGCCCAAUAACAACAAAACCUUAGGCCCACUAGAAACUUACCAGCUUUUCCCCAUAACAUCAUCAAAACGAAACGAGCAAAACCAUUUGGAAUCGAUUGAUCUGUUCAUUUCUCUUCUUUCGCUCAUCGGAAUCGAUCGAGCUGGUGAGAGAUGCCGGGCUUAACAUGUAACGCGUGUAACAUGGAGUUCGAGAACGAAGCUGAACGAAAGCUCCAUUACAGCUCCGAUUGGCACCGUUACAAUCUCAAGCGCAAGGUCAUAUAUUUUUGUCGGUUUAUUAUUUGUUCGUCGGAAAAUUCUAUUCCGAUGGUUUUGCUUAAGAUAAAAAUGAAAGCUUCUGAGCAAAAAAAAUCAAAACUUUAUCAUUUCUUUUAUCGAAAUGGUUUCACUUUAUCAUUGUUCUUGAUGUUGAGGUUUUGGAUACGUUUAGGUAGCUGGAGUUCCCGGGGUUACGGAAGAGUUGUUUGAGGCGAGACAAUCUGCUCUUGCUCUGGAGAAAGGCAAAUCAGAUGAAGCGCCUAUGCUUUACACCUGCGGAGCUUGUGGUAAAGGCUACAGGAGCUCCAAGGCUCAUGAGCAGCAUCUCAAGUCACGGAGCCACGUUUUGCGUGUUUCGCAGGGGGAAACAAGCAACGGUGAUGAGGAUGUAGCGAUAGUCACGCCGCUUACUCGCCGUUUCAAGAAUAAAGAGAAUGAGGAGAGUGAUGAUGAGUGGGUGGAGGCUGAUUCAGAUGAGGAAAUGGCUGCUGAUGCUGAGGAAGAGGCCUCGGAGGCUUUGUCUAAGUUGAAUGUGAAUGAGUCAGGAGCUGGUGAGGAUGAUAUGGAUGAAGAUGAUGCUUAUGAGCUGGAUCCAACCUGUUGUUUGAUGUGUGACAAGAAGCAUAAGACUUUAGAGAUCUGUAUGGUUCACAUGCAUAAGCACCAUGGCUUCUUCGUUCCGGAUGUUGAGUAUCUAAAAGAUCCUGAAGGGCUUCUCACUUACCUCGGUCUUAAGGUUCGGACUCUCAUCCGUUUAGCAUUCUUGUAAAGCUUUUGGACUUUUUGAAACUCCUAUUUACUCUUUAUACCAUGGAUCAUCACUCAGGUCAAGAGAGACUACAUGUGUCUCUACUGCAGCGAGCUCUGCCAUGCAUUCAGCAGCUUAGAGGCUGUAAGAAAGCAUAUGGAAGCAAAGAGUCAUUGCAAAUUGCAUUAUGGUGAUGGUGAUGGUGAUGAUGAGGAAGAUGCUGAACUAGAAGAGUUCUACGACUACAGCAGCAGGUUUCUACUAGUAUCUUAUUAUUCUUGUAUUCCUCUUUUUGUGCCAAAUCUUAAUACAUUAUCUAUCAUAUUUGAGCAGUUAUGUUGAUGAAACUGGAGACCAGAUAGUUGUAGCUGGUGAAACAGACAACGCUGUAGAACUCGUUGGUGGUUCUGAGCUCGUGAUCACCGAGAGAUCUGAGAACACAACAACGUCUAGGACUCUGGGGUCACGUGAAUUCAUGCGUUACUAUAGACAGAAGCCGCGCCCAAGUUCUCAAAACAGUAACCAGAUUGUUGCCUCUCUGUCUUCAAGGUUUGUCUCUCAAACCGUUCGAUCAUUCAACCUAUUAAACUAGAGAAUCAUCAAGUUAAUCUUAACUAAGGUUAUUUUCCAUAAUUGGUUAAUGCUCAGGUACAAGAGCCUUGGUCUGAAGACAGUGCCAUCGAAAGAGGAUAGAGUGAAGAUGAAAGCGCUCAAGGAGAUGAACAAGAGAGGCGAGACAAUGCGUACCAAGAUGGCAAUGAAGAGUAACGUCAUAAGAAACUUGCCCAACAAUGUUCCUUAUUAGCUCUCUGAGCUUGUCCUUUUGAAUUGUGCGACUGUUCCAUGUACUUUGACAAAGUUGUGUUUGUGAUAAUAAGACUGAGCUUUAAAAACAUAACUAAUAAACAUGUUCAGUAAAAUAGUAAAUGUUAAACAUUGCUGCAGCAACCAAACAAUGUAUUCAAUCAAGUAAAAUACAAGGGAAGAAAGAAAAGAUUAAACCUCCAAGUUCGUUCUUGCUAUAGAGACACAUAGUGUAAAGGGUGCGUGAUACCUGAUUUGGUAGGACCACGCUUUGCUCAAUCUGUAUAGCUGAAAAAAAAAACAGAAACAAAAAGAGUUACUACAUGUAAACCAGAGCAGAAACUACUUUCAGCUUUAUCUCAUGUUGCCAUAUACUGAAAAACACUUAUUUACACAUGAGAAUAAAAAGGAAAAAAAAACACCUUGAGCACCUCCAUCAACAUUCAAUGAUGCUACACUACGAGGGGAUACAGUUUUAAGCAUUUCCUCUGUUGCUUUAGCUCUGACUUUGCGAAUUUCAUCUUGAAUAUUCCAUGUAGGAUUCGAACGGGAUCUCCUUCUCAGCUGCAUUUUGGUAUCCAAAAUCAGAAUGCAUAUGCAUAACUUUGAGAGGAGUCAUAAGACAUACAUAACGGUAUGCAACUUCUUCUUUUUUUGAAAACUGGACAAAGAAAAAACUCAAGACUUUCAAACAAUGUUUUGACCAGAAGAUGAGUAUGCACUGCACCUUGGAAGAGGAGAAGUUUCCAGCACUGUAAGGAAACGGCGUCCCUUCCUUAAUAAGUUGCAUCCCUGCUGGUGAUGGUGAGCGAAACUCUGAAGUGUUCGCAGCUGGAGAUCCCCAUGGCAGACGAGCUCUCAUAUAUGACUUGGCCACAUCCACAGGCGAUCCACCACCAUCUUCAGUUGCCUGGAAGUUGAAAAUAAAAACUGAGGUGGUUAUCAUUGUCUAAAGCACAUUGGAGAAGAAACUAUAAAUGGUGGAAUUGGUCAAGAAAAACUAUCAGAAGAUGAUUUUUUUUUUUUUUUUUGUGAGCACAUGAUAAUACUUAAAACUACUCUAGCUAGAGAGAUCUGAACUUACUAUAGACUUUGAACUUGAUGCUGAUUUCUUCUCCUCCAACCAUCUUUUUGCUUCCAUGACAGCUUUAUUAGACAUUUCACCCACAUCCACCUCUGAGAAAGAAAAAAAGCGAGAAAAUGUUAUCACAUAGACUAAUCUCGUCUGCUUGCACAAGAUUAGUUACAUACCAUUAUCACUAUGCCUCCCCUCAUUAGGAGUGGGGACACUGGGAUGAUCUACAACCCUCGCCUUGAUGAUAUCUAUUAAUCUAUCGCCUUCUUCCCUGGAACAACAUACAAAUCAACAGCUUAACAAGCUCCUCAUGAAAAAAUAUUACAGAUUUAUUUUCAACUAUAUGUCUAGACACUUGUAAAUACCUUGCAAAUGUUUCUUGCAUGAUAAGCUGCUCAAUUACACGCUUAGAACCGAGUCUUUGGAUGGUUGAUUCCUGAAGGUCAUAUUAACACAAGAACACAUCAUAAUCGCUUCACAUAAACUGAAAUAAGACUUCCAUCAAAAAUUACAAAGUUGAAAAAGUCAACUUUGUGUACUUCUACAAAACAAUCAAACUGGUGAAAAGGUAGACUCAGCACAAAACCAUAUCGAAAAUUUUCAAACUAGAGAACCUUUGGUAACACCAUACACUAGGCCAAUAUAGCUUGAAUCAGUUCUGUGAAGAAUGAACUUGGAGAUUACAGGCCAAGGGUCUCUAAGUAAAUUUAAAACAAGGCAUAGCAUAAUCACACAAAACGAGUAAGGUGGUUAGUACCUCAACCAUUGUUUCAUCUUCGAGAACAUCCUCAUCAUCACCUUCAAUAUCAGAAAACAAAUGAAACCUACUUCAAAAGAGUAUAAGGAAGAAACAAGCAGGAUGAUGGGUGGAACAUAGUUAAACCCGUAUAUGAAAAAAAAAACAUUAGAGCUUGAGAACUUAUACAAUGAUUCACUGCAAUUAAGUGACAUUAAUGAAGGAAAUAGAAAAAAAAGGUGGAAGCUUUAAAUCAAAUUCACAUUUCAAAGAAAAAGGGUUGGUUUCAGAUUCCGAGUUUCCGACCAAACAAAAAAACCGAAAUUUCCAAACUAAUCUUGUCUGAAUCUAACGAAAGUAUUCAUUUUUUUUUGCUUAACCGAAUGAAUUAAGGCAACACAUAUAUAUACCUGAAGAUGAAUCCUCGUCCUCGGAAGAAGAUGAGGAAGAUUCAGAGAAGACGACGGAAGAAAUGAAUUUCCCGGCGCCGGAGGCAAUCACGGUGACAGGUUUGUAAACGAGCCUGGACAUCCAACUAGGGUUUUGCUGAGGAGGAUCUCUGGAUCUUGGAGCGGGGCGGUCGUACGGCGUCUUGACGGCGAAUCUCCGGCGAGGUCGAACAAUCUUGCCUCCGGAUUGAGGCUGACGUGGUCCGGCGUCGGAAUCCAUGGGAGAAGUCAGAAGGGAGAAAGUGAGAGAGUUCGUUGAUGUUUUUUCUAGUUAUUUGUCGUCUUCUU